AAGACACUGUGUAAAUUCUUGGGCUUAAUUCACUAAACUGGGAAUUGCAGAAAACUGUCAAGAGAAUUGCAAAUUAUACACCAAACUCUGUGAGCUGGAGUAAUGGCAGAGUGGGGGAGUUCUUCCAAUUUGUAAUGCACUGUAAUUCUUGUCACCAGUUCUCAGUUUAGGUAAUAACUCGGGAAGAAAAAAACUCACUAAGCCAUGCACCAAAACCACCCCAUCUCUUACAGCCAGGAGAAUCAGGCCCAAAAUGGCCAUCAGACAAACUUGGCAACCCAGGUGGGCCGCAAUGGCCAAGGCGACAGAUCUCCCCAGCCGGCCCCUUCAGACCUGUUACUCCCCGGCGUCGGCACAAACUGGGGGCUCUUCGAUUGGUGGGAAAAUCAAAGAUCUCUCACCGGCCAGCACAGUGCAAUGCCAGCAUCCAGGGAGCUUUUGGUCUGCACCCCACAGUGAGUGCAGACCGUGUGAGUCAAUCGAGUGAAUCAAAGUGUUGUCACUGUAAUGUAAUCAAAUUGAAUACAUUUUAUCAACCAACAAAACCACUAUUAUUGCAACUCCAUUUUUUACAUUCUUAAUGGACAAAAUUGAUAUGAUUGCUGUGCCAUAUUCAAUAUGGUAGCAUACAAC
Molecule: non-coding RNA, 633 nt
Organism: Pelobates cultripes (western spadefoot toad)
Lineage: Eukaryota; Metazoa; Chordata; Amphibia; Anura; Pelobatidae
Source: the annotation of a GenBank genome assembly